This 1202-nucleotide ribosomal RNA is filed under the name Aphelida sp. RNAcentral describes it as "SSU rRNA". It matches the Rfam family "Eukaryotic small subunit ribosomal RNA", at positions 473 to 1707 of the family's 1831-position model. Lineage: Eukaryota; Fungi; Aphelidiomycota. The record is from RNAcentral.
AUACAUAACAAUACAGGGCUCUUCGAGUCUUGUAAUUGGAAUGAGUACAAUCUAAAGCCCUUAACGAGGAACAAUUGGAGGGAAAGUCUGGUGCCAGCAGCCGCGGUAAUUCCAGCUCCAAUAGCGUAUAUUAAAGUUGUUGCAGUUAAAAAGCUCGUAGUUGAAUUUUGGACGUGGUGAUGUGGUCCGCCUAACGGCGAGUACUGCAGCAUCGCGUCCCACCUUCUGGACGUGCGUGCUGCCCUUUACCGGGUGGCACGUGUGGCCAGGACGUUUACUGUGAAAAAAUUAGAGUGUUCAAAGCAGGCGUUCGCUUGAAUACAUUAGCAUGGAAUAAUGGAAUAGGACUUUGGUCUUAUUUUGUUGGUUUCUAGGACUGAAGUAAUGAUUAAUAGGGAUAGUUGGGGGCAUUAGUAUUUCAUUGUCAGAGGUGAAAUUCUUGGAUUUAUGAAAGACUAACUUCUGCGAAAGCAUUUGCCAAGGAUGUUUUCAUUAAUCAAGGACGAAAGUUAGGGGAUCGAAGACGAUUAGAUACCGUCGUAGUCUUAACCAUAAACUAUGCCGACUCAGGAUCGGUGGCACGUCAUUUGAUGCGUCCAUCGGCACUGUAGGAGAAAUCAAAGUUUUUGGGUUCUGGGGGAGUACGGUCGCAAGGCUGAAACUUAAAGGAAUUGACGGAAGGGCACCACCAGGAGUGGAGCCUGCGGCUUAAUUUGACUCAACACGGGGAAACUCACCAGGCCAGAACAUAAGAAGGAUUGACAGAUUGAGAGCUCUUUCUUGAUUUUAUGGGUGGUGGUGCAUGGCCGUUCUUAGUUGGUGGAGUGAUUUGUCUGGUUAAUUCCGAUAACGAACGAGACCUUAUCCUGCUAAAUAGUCGCGUCGAGUCUUACUCGUCGUCGACUUCUUAGAGGGACUGUUGCUGUUUAAGCAAUGGAAGUUUGAGGCAAUAACAGGUCUGUGAUGCCCUUAGAUGUUCUGGGCCGCACGCGCGCUACACUGAUGAAGUCAGCGAGUUCUUCCUUGUCCGAGAGGAUUGGGUAAUCUUGUGAAACUUCAUCGUGCUGGGGAUAGACCUUUGCAAUUAUUGGUCUUCAACGAGGAAUUCCUAGUAAGCGCGAGUCAUCAGCUCGCGUUGAUUACGUCCCUGCCCUUUGUACACACCGCCCGUCGCUACUACCGAUUGAAUGGCUUAGUGAGGC